This is a non-coding RNA of Triticum urartu, 2656 nucleotides long. The record is from RefSeq and is a predicted model, not a curated record. Lineage: Eukaryota; Viridiplantae; Streptophyta; Magnoliopsida; Poales; Poaceae.
CUCCAGGUGAAACACCCACUUUUCCCCAAUCCAAUAAUAUCAUCGUUCCCCAAUCUCACCCCUCCCUCUCGCUGCCGCUCACACACAACACAGAGACCUAAACCUAAUGCCCCCGCGCCGCCACCCACGACCUUCGUGCCACCGGCCAAGCCCUCACGCUGGUCCCCUCAUGCCGAUGCAUCUCAAACCCUAGGCGUUCCUUCCCUCAGCCCGCAUCAGCAGCAGCGCCGUCCGUGAUAGAGGAGCAUCGUCCGCCCACCACCCGCCGUUGAGGAGCAGCUGCGCCGUCUUGCUGAGGAGCCGCCCGCCGUUCUUCUUCCUCCACCGGCGACACGUGUACCUCCAGAUCUCAACAGGCAAGCUGCAAAUCUUCCCAAUCUGCCUACCUGCUCUCUCAUCUCCAUUAUUGGCAACGAGGUCAAAUUAGGGUUCUGAAAUUAGAUAAUACAUGAGAUUAAUCAAAGGGGAAAAGGAACAUUUGACCACCAGCUAGCAUAAGGAUUUCAUUUUCAGUGGUUUGAGGUAAGAUCCGCUCUUCCCUACCAUGGAUUUUGAUGGAUAGCAGGUUCUAUUUGAAAGGAGAAGAGAGAUAGUGCAGGGAAGAAGAAGUCGCUCAGUUUACUAGCCAGUAUUGACAUUGAUAGUAUGACCUUCCCAGGUUUAAGGGGCAUGGCAUGUUGGCACCAUUCACAGCUGGAUGGCAGAGCAAUGGUGUGCAUCCGUUGGUUAUUUAGAGAUCUGAGGGUUCUUAUGUUUAUGACAUCAAUGGGAACAAGUAUCCAGAUUCUCUAGCAGGACUGUGGUGUACAACUUUAGUUAUGUAAAGUACAAUCUUUGGAGUGUGAUUUUUGCGAUUAUGUACCACAGAAUUGUUCAUUCUUUGGGAUAAUACCCUGCAUCACCAUUUUGUUUUUGCAUUUAAAAGUGAUGUAUAAAGUCUAAUUUGUAUCCUUUGAAGUGCAUCUCUUGUUGACAAUUGAUUUGUAACCCCAAAUAUGAAACAUGACUCUCUUAAUUGCUGGAAAUAUUGGUCAUAUCUAUUUCAAGAAAGGUUGUGCACCCAACAUUUAUAGCUCCCAUUCCGUGCAAUCAGCCCAAUAUGCUUCAUGUUCCUUUACAGAAAUUAACAUUUGGUCUAUAGCGUUAAAGGGCCGAACUGAACCCAUAUGCUUCUACCUGUUAUUACAUCAUUUCUAUAUGCUUCUUCCUGUUAUUACAGCAGAUUUUAGAUAUGACAAUGUCAGAGACCACAAAUAAAGAGAUAAUCUUGAAAUCUUAGCUUCACAUUGGAUGUUUGGAACAUCAAUUCAGUACCCUUAGUACUAAACAGAAACCAUAUUCUCAAUAAACUGAUAUUUAUUGUUGAACGUGCCUUUUGCUUUUGAAACGAUAAUUAUUACUUAGCAUGUGAUGUUGCCUAGUAAUAAACUGAACCGUAUUUUAGUGUUUCCAUUUUCCUCAAUUACCAAGUUUAGCAUCUACCUUUUUAUCUAAUACACUCCAUUAUACUCAAAUAUGGUCUUUACAACCCACAUAUGUUGCAUUUUUUCUGCUAACAGGAGAGUACCAAAUUUGUGAAGACUUUCAUUUCUUACAUUCGUUACUUUUAGCCGCUGAACAAACCAAGGUAAAGAACGACAAACACGGAAAAGGCUAGCUGUUGGCUGUGGGUGCUGAGCUGACGGACAGUGUGGAAGAAGGUGUGAUCUUCGCAGUGGCCCAUGAAGUACUUUUUUCUUUACAUGUUGAUCACUACUGCACUGUUCAAGUUCUUAAUCAAGUGACUGAUCGACUGUGAUUGUGGUUCACAACCAAGGGAAUGCUAACCGUGGUGGUGAUUGAAGAGCCCUUAAUCAAUUCGGCCCUGUAGAUUGGAGCACCAACAUGGGAUAUUGCACCAUCUAGCUCCAUCUAUCUGAUUCAUCUUAUUUUCUUGGUCUAUCAACUAGAGGAAUCUACAGAUUCUUGAAUACGUUCCUGACCUUGUGCAAUCGAUAGUUGGUCUGAUCUCAUCCUCCGACGACCAAGAGUUCUGAGACGAAUGUGUGGUGCUCCUCGCGAAACAUAGUACGGCUUCAGCAUCAUAGGAUGUGCAAUAAUAAGAGCAAAAUUUAUCAUCCACUUCACAGAGAAAAUUCAGUAUCAAAUGUACUUAAACACACUCUGUUCACAGUUAGACCUGUUUGUCAAUGUAUUUUGUUGCUUUUUAUUUACCCCCUUGUUGUACUCUUUUCUCAUCACUGUAUUUCUCCAUCAGCCAUCCCUUCUCUUCCCUUGUGCUUCCCUCUUUUUUCUGGUCUUCUUCAAAUCUCUAAAGUUACAGUAAGAACCUUAUUACUGAUGCCUUAGAACAAAUCUGAUUUAUUAAGAAUGGGCGCAUAAUUUUUAUAGUAAACCAUGUGAUAUGGUAGGAGCUAGCGUGGCUUUGGUUUAUUUUCUGAUAAGGAUAUCUUAUGUAACCAAACUGUUUGCAAUAUCUUCUAUUUUUUAGAUAUUGUUUUAGAUCUUUGGGAUCAUUGGCAACUAGCAAGUUUGAACAAAUUCUCAUUUCUAUGAUUGCUCAAACAUAGAAGUUCUUUUUUUGCAGGGACAUGACAGAAAGUUGCAAGUCCACAAGUUGAUCUAAGAUGUUCGGUCAUCGCUUUUGUUCAUAACA